CCAGGGUCUGAGAGAAAUCUAGCCGUACUUUAGGAGUUAAGCAUUUCUGGGGCUGUUCCCUCAGACUGAAGGAAAUUGAGACAGAUCCAAGAAGAGCAGAUGGGGCAUUGGUGUGGACGAAUAAAGACGGCAACAGCUGAAUUCAAUAUGUCUUCUGUCUUCAGUACCACCUACCUAGGUGGUCAGACCUCAGCAGCUUCCUGGUGCCUGGCCCCUUUCCCCCCACCCCCACACCUUAAUUGCUUUUCUUUCUUUUUUUUUUUUUUUUUUUUUUUUUUUUUGGAGCUGGGGACCGAACCCAGGGCCUUGCGCUUGCUAGGCAAGCGCUCUACCACUGAGCUAAAUCCCCAACCUCUUACUUGCUUUUCUAUGGCUGUGAAAAGACACCAUGACCAAGGCAACUUAUAGAAGAAAGAGUUUAUUGGUGCUUAUAAGUUCAGAGGGCUUGAGUCCCUGACCAUCGCGAUGGGGAGCAUGUCUGAGGCAGGCAGGCACUGCACUGGAGCAGUAACUGAGACUUCACAUCUCACCCACAAGUGGGAGGCAGAACACUAGCUAGAAAUGGCCUGGGCUUCUGAAACCUCAGAACUCACUGGUAGUUACACAUCUCCUCCAACAAGGCCACACCUCCUAAUCCUUCCCAAACAGUUCCACGGACUGGGGACCACGCAUUCAAAUACCUGAGCCACUGGGGGUGGGGGGUGCAUCAGCAUUUGAACCACCACACACUCUCCUUGGCAGAUGGGAGCUGGGGGUAGAGAGGACCUCCUCCGAGGGCUGCCUGAAACUCAUACACCGUUCUUUUCAGAACUUUCAGACCAGGUAAAUGGGGGAUUGGGUUGUCUACAUCUUCCUCGCAGACAUUACAGAGGGAAGUGUCUGAAACUCUGACGGGCUGCAGGUUACCCCGUGUGCACGUGCCCCUGCAGGCCAGAAGAACAGGACUCGAUUCCCUAGAAAUGAAGUUCAGAGAUGGUUGUGAACCACCAGAGGUUCUGGCAACUGAACCCAGGUCCUUUGCGAUAGCAGCAGGCACCCUCUACUGCUGAUCCACCACUCCAGCCCCCUCCCUUCCCCCUCGUGCCCCUCCAAGUCUAUUCUGUCCAGCCCACAUACUCAUGGGUGUGGGCCUUGAGUGGAGCAUGACUAACCUAAGGCCACACCCAUAAAGAAACUGACUCCCUCUCCCGAAGCCAGCAGCUGGCUCCCAGGCUAUGGGUGGAGACACGAUCCAUUCCUCCCUCCUCAACUAAUUACUUUUAUUAAAAAAUGAUUCUUUGGACUUCAUCUGCCCCCUUUAGCUUGAAAAGUGGAUGGAUAGUGAACACCGCUGAUUUGUGCAAUAGGAAACAGCCUCUGGCCUAUGUACUAUGGAUUCGACUGGCCAUGGCUCUUGUGACCGGCCAGACGUAGGUCCUCCAGCCCCGCCCCAGGUCCUCCAGCCCCGCCCCAGGUCCUCCAGCCCCGCCCCCUGCUUCAUAAAGCUUGCACAGGUGUCUUUGCUGAUCCACUUGGCACCUCACCUUUACCCUACCCUGAGCAGGGCCCCUCUGGGGAACAAGUUCUCUCGCUAGCCCUUCACCCAGUGCCAUAUUCGCUCUUCUGAUUCUAACAGAAAAGCUCUCUGUCCCUCCUGUGACCUGUGACCUUGCAGCCAGGAUGGCCAGCGCUCCCACACACUGCUGUUUUCGCAAGUGUGAAUUUACCACUUGCCGCCCCAGUGGCCAACCACCGUCAGUUCUCAGCGUCCGUGCCUUGAGCAAUCUGACAGGAGAAGAACAUAAAGUCUGCACAUGGCUUUAAAGUCGUUCCGACUGAGGGGGGCUGAGGCCGGCGGUGGGGUAGCCCAGUGGUAGAACAUUUGCCUAUGACCCUCAGCACUAGGACAGCUGGACAGACAAAAACUAACACGAAACCCUUCAGCUAAAAAAAAAAAAAGGAAAAGAAUUAUAACACCCGCUGUGACUGGGUGAGCCUCUGGGGAGACUUGUGUUUGAAAUUUUCCAUCCCUCCUCUUGGAACAAACCGCCGGCUUCCACCCCAGCCUGUGCCCUGGACAGCUUCCCAGUGUACAAGUGAGGCAGAAACCCACCUGCCACAUGGUGCGGUCCUAAGGACCUAGGGCACAGUGCCCUCUCCUCUCUGCAAAAAGCUCAGGAGAUUUCUUGCUGCUGUGUCCAGGGCAGUGGGGUAGUACAGAGCCAUGAAUAAGGGAUGAAUAGAUCAGCAUAGAGGAGGGACCCCAGGGACCCCAGAAGAUGUCCAAAUUGUGCAUGUCUUUAAUACCAGCACUUAUGAGACCCGAGGUAAGUCUGUGAGUUCUAGGCCAGUUUGGUCUAUUGGUCUACAUACUGAGUUCCAGCGAGGGGUACAGGGUGAGACUUUGUCUCAAAAACAAAAGAAAACAAACAAGUGAAACCCCCAAUCUUCAGAUCCUCAAAGAACUUGGAGCCUGUCCUUCAGAACUCCCCAACUUCUACUUAGCAGUUUGGGUGAGGCCUAAAUUAGGACCUAAGUAAAGGUCUAAAUAGGGGCCACCUAGGCUACCACUUCACCCUAGCCACAGGGUCCUGGGAUGGGCUGGCUUAGCUCAGCCACACCUGUGAGAGUGACUUCAGCAGGUCACUUGGCUUACAGGAAUGAAAGCAGGGCGGCAGGUCCCCAGGCCUUUGAGCUGGUGACUUCAUCUCUGUGAGAUCCUGAACUCUCAGAUCUUAGAGGCUCCCUCACCUGACCAGACGCAGAAGGCACUCCCUCCCUGGCAGCCCCUCCCCUGAGACUGUAUCCAGGAGAACUUUAAAGAGAAUAGACUUAGGGUUGUGAAUGGGUGGGGCUUGGGGAACGUGGGUGGGUCCAGACCUUCCGGUUCCCCGAAUGGAGCCCCGAAGGGUCAUCGUAAAGCAGGGAACUGGUUCCAAGUACAGCUUGUAAAACAGUGAGUGUGUGUUAGUCAUAUAAAAUAAUGGGUUUCAUUCCGACGUUACCGCGCAUGUGCAGAGUGUCCUUUAUAACCUACUGACCCAGAGAUGAUCUCAGUCCGUGCAGGCAGAACCUACUGCCAUCAUCCUCAUGUGACCUGAUUAUCUUCUCGGAGAAGGAUGUGCUUCUCUCUCCUUUUAAACACCACACAGAAGCUGCAUGUGGAAGGUGGAGGCAGGAGGAUCCAGAGUCACAGGCUAGCCUCAGCUACGUGGUGAAUAUGGAUGAAAUUUCACAAAAAGAAGCUGCUUUUUCAAAGUGAACCUUCCGCAAGGCUGACUAAUCCUCGAAGCUACGUGACAGAGAUGGAGCACUGGGAAUGCACAGAGAACCAGUUUCCCUUUGGGAAAUAGUCUCUCGCUUCCUCCUGUCUGAACCUGAAGGCAUCAUCAGUAUGUGGGGCCUAAACCAGAGUUCUCCGUUUUCCUGUGGCCAGCCUCUCCGAUGCUCCCACCCAUGUAUCUGAAAAGCACCUUGAUUUAUUUUGAUGAUUUUUUAUUUAUUUAUCUGUAAACAAACUCUGUGUCCCGUGGCCACAGUCACCCACGUUUGUCUCCAAAAUAAACGUCUCUUCUUUGAGAGGGAGAGAAAGAAA
Long non-coding RNA from Rattus norvegicus (Norway rat), 3574 nucleotides. RefSeq lists it as uncharacterized. NCBI's taxonomy places the organism in Eukaryota, Metazoa, Chordata, Mammalia, Rodentia, Muridae. The record is from RefSeq and is a predicted model, not a curated record.